AGGCUGGGCUCGUUUAUUUCAGCUGUGUAAUGUUUUGGGGGUAGGUGGGAGAAAACGUUAAUUGGGACAAGCUGUGUCUCUGCACAGUAGGUACUAAUUUUCCCGUGCGUGUUGGACUUCAGUACUUCUGCUUGAGUCCCAGAAGAAGGUGGCUUUUUUCUUUUGUCAGUGGUUUUGCUCCGUAUUGUUUGAGGUUUUUCUUUCCCGUUUUCCUUAUGAUGUCAGAAGGCAGGACGUACAACGAGGAGAAGAGCAGAAAAUAAGCUGAGGAUGAAGAGGCAGCUGACUACCUGGCCUACUGCUGUGAAGGGAGGCUGUGCUAAUGCUGUUCAGACAUGCCUGGUAUUGCAAGGAAGAGCUGGUUACCCCAGGUCACACAGUGCAGCUCUACCUGUGAGCACCUGGCUUUCCUGUUCAGCCAGAUGCUGUACCUGCUCAACCUCUUGUCUUCCUCAGUGCCUCACGCUGCAUUUUAUCACGACCAGCUUGUGGCAGCCGUUCCACUUUGUGCCAGCAAGAGACACAAGUUAGAGGCUACCACCCAGAUACAGAAGCAAACUGGUUAGCUCACCACCUGCCUCUGCCAGUGCUUAAGGUCAGCUACUGGAAAAAGUUAAACACCAGCUACUGCAGCCAGGUAUGAUCCUACAGAGGGGCCUUCAUUUACAACUGUUAUUCUUCACUCAUUUUUGUUCAAGUCUGUAAGACAUUACACUGGAAAAACAGCCUGUGAUCUGCAAAGCAAGGACAGCAAGAUGUGUGCAGGUUCAGGGGUUUUAAGCAUUCAGGUUUUCCUCUUGAAAUCUUCCAUUUCUGUUAACAAGUGGACACUGACCAUCACCGAAAAUGGCCAGGACAGCUUGUCGAUAAUGGCAAGGUUUUCUUCACUUUUCCUACCCUUAAAGUAUUAGAGGAGCUUGAGCAACACUUUUCCUGGCUGACACAAAGGGCAGAGGCAUCAGCUUGGCAGAGCGUUGCAGCCCAAGGACUUCUCAAAUUUGCCUAAACGCUGUGACCCUCUGAUCUCUCUGCUCAGUAGCCUUUGCUGUUGGCCAUAGGCUUGGGUCUGGUUAUGAUUUUAAUAAACAGAGCUCAGGGAAGUUACCAGUGACUGUAGGAAAAAAAAGCAAACAAGCAGACCAUAAAUCAGGCCAUUGCAUGGAUUCAGAACACACUAAUAAAAUCGGAGCUUCCAAUAAAUUUCAUUUCAGGCAGAGCAGAAAUGGUUUCUCAGUUGAGAGCUGGAGAUGAGCAAUACUUUCAGGUGUGUGUCAGGCCAAUGCUGUAGGCUUACAGCCAUGUUUGCAGGCAAGUAGCAAAGGCCGGGCCAGAGCCAGGCCCUCGCACCAGCUGCACUUGAGUAAGAAGUGAGUAAAAGUCAAGAUUCUCCAAUUCUCUGAGCAAAGCUGAAUCUAAUUAAAUAUUUAUUUUUUCCUCCUCUCAAA
This is a long non-coding RNA of Pogoniulus pusillus (Red-fronted tinkerbird), 1445 nucleotides long. RefSeq lists it as uncharacterized. The record is from RefSeq and is a predicted model, not a curated record. NCBI's taxonomy places the organism in Eukaryota, Metazoa, Chordata, Aves, Piciformes, Lybiidae. The transcript has 4 exons.